RNAcentral lists this long non-coding RNA (481 nucleotides) under Anser brachyrhynchus (Pink-footed goose). RNAcentral's name for it is "lncRNA (ENSABRG00000012357.1)". Lineage: Eukaryota; Metazoa; Chordata; Aves; Anseriformes; Anatidae. The record is from RNAcentral.
UCCUUUCUUCCUUUCUUCCUUUCUUUCUUCCUUUCUUCCUUUCUUUCUUUCUUCCUUUCUUUCUUCCUUCCUUUCUUUCUUUCUUUCUUUCUUCCUUUCUUCCUUUCUUCCUUUCUUCCUUUCUUCCUUUCUUCCUUUCUUCCUUUCUUUCUGCCAGCUGCCACGAGGCGCUGUGUCCUCCUUUCUUCCCCAGGCUGUCCCUGAGGUGAGGCGCCGCCAUCUUGGCCGCUGGGCCCAGCCGUGCCCUGCUGUGGGGCCGUUGGGGCUGGCAUGGGGCAGCCAUCGCCACAUGCAGCAACAACGCAGAUAUGGGCACCCACACGCAUGGGCACCCGCACCGAGCACAAAGUUAUAUUCAGAAGGCCACAACAAAUUUUGGCUGACAAUGUUCUUUCAAUCUUACUCAGUGGAAGUUUUUAACAUUGAGCAAGUCCAUCUGUCUCAAGGUGAUUGCAACAUUUAAGAGUGGGAUAGGUUCCUG